UCGUCAGUCUUUAUGCGGUGCGCCGUAAGCAUAUGACCGUUCUCAACGCGUUUAUAGUUUCUAAUUAACGAUAUGGCAAUAUUCGGCCUCCUGCUAUGCCCGGAACAAUACGCAACCAAAGCCGUCAAACUCAGUUCGCUAUGACCAGCUGGAAGUCGCUACAGCUGUAGCGGCCCCCCCCUUCGGAAACCUGGCCACCUGGCCGGGGCUAAGCUCCGAUAGGGUCUUCUUUGAGCUUGCCGCUUCGAAUGAUUACUGCUGCCAUACGUAUUCGCUUACGUAGGCCCAACCGCUAAUCUCCGUGCUGUUUUUUUCCCUCGAUGCUCCGAAUCUCCGAAGGGACGAACAGUUGCUUUACAGGGACUGUGAACGGCUGUCCGUCAGCAGUCUCAACCAGCGCCAGAGUACCGAGCGUAUUCCAGUACUUAAAGAAAAAUGGGCCCUCCCUGUCGGUCCCAAGCUUGGGUGAACGCCGAGUCCAUCGGUACACCUUGGUGUUUUCCGCCAGGUCAGGUGCGUGCUCCAGCGAACUUGCAUCAUCCACCUUGAUACGAGUCUUACGUUCCUGCGCGGCCGCUGGCUGGGGUUUCAGCGAAACUGGCCCGCCAGUUGCGCGAUCCGUUUGAGCAAUCGGUGUGACCCGUGGGUCUGCCUCCUCCUUAUUGACGGGCUGCAACAUAGGGUUGCCUUGUCGUUUAGCAUAGUCUCGCUGCUGUCGACUUUGAGCUUUUGUCAGGUUCUCCGCAACCUGAUCAGCCACCAGCUCUAGUUGUGAACGUCGGUGCUGCAGAGCCGCAUAGUCUUCUGCACAUACCUCCGCCGGCUCCUCUGACGGUUGUGUGGGAUUCGGGGCGGUGCUGCGUUCAGCCGCCGUUGUAAGUUCUUUGCCGAACACACAUAGCGCCGGGCUCAACCGCGUGCUAUCCUGUCGGGUAGCUCUAUAACCAUAGAGAAUUUGAUAGACCUCAAUGUCCCAGUUGUCUUCCUUGUCGUUGAUGCAUUUGCGUAGGCUUGUCAACAGUACCCUGACAAGACGCUCUGCCUGCCCGUUGCUCUGAGGUGAGUAGGCAGCGGUGUGUCGAUGUGCGAUUUUCUGCUCUCGUAGCAGAUAGGCAAACUCGCCAUCCCAUUCUCGACCUUGAUCCGUCAUCACCAUUUCUGGCGAUCCAUAGCGGGUCACCCACUGUUGCCAGAACCAUGAUGCAGUGGUGCUAGCUUUCUUAUCCGGCAGGGGUCCUGCCUCGGGCCAUUUAGACCAUGAGUCUACAGCCACGAUCAGAUAGCUGUUGCCGCGAGGUGUCUCCUUGUAAGGUCCCAUCAGAUCAACAUGUACUCUUCCCCACAGUGGUACCACCGGAAGGGGGUGAAGUCGUGGUUGCCGUACAAGCCUCAGCUUGCCAGGUGCACACUUCUGACACUUGGCCACGUGUGUCUGCACAUCUUGUCGCAUGUUCUCCCAAAAGAAACGCUUGCGAAGGAAGUCAUAGGUCUUGCCGACUCCCCAAUGAGCCAUGUCGUGGGCCUCUUGAAGCGCUGCCAGGCGUUCCUCAGGUUUGAGAACUCGCACCCGUGAUUGCUUAUCCGAGCUCAGCUUCCACAGCCGGCCAUUUGAAAGUUCAUACCGAGCAGCCUUUUUACGUAAUCUUGUCAUCUCCCUCAAAUUGUCUUCCCCGGACGCCGAAACGUCAACAGGAAGCUUGCCAGAUUCUAAGUAUCGAAUCAAUGCUUUAUCCUGCCAAAUUUCUGUAGGGGUAAGAGGUCCAGGCUUCGGCGUCUCGCCGGAGCUGUUACCACUAUCUGGGGUAAAAACAUUGGAAUCCGGACCUGAGUCGCUCUCCUUGCUUGAGGAAGACAAGGAAGGAGAAGGUGACGGGGUCAAACCCUGAGUAGGAAUACGGUCGGCCAUAGGGCGACCUGGGGUGGCCCGGGGGUGAAUGAUGGCUGGACCUCCAGCCAAUCGCUGAUCAGCAGGACAGGGUUUGUCUAGGGCGGGCAGGGAUCGGGAAAAUCGCACCCGCUUGGCUGGCGUAUCGCCAGGGCCAGUAGACAGACGAUGCUUUGCAGAGUGUUGAGCUGGUUUGCUACUAUGAAGUGGGCAAAACCAUGGCCCAGCCGGUACCACAGACAAUGGUGGAUCUAGACACGUAGUGUGCCAGCCCAGACGGCAGGUAGGCUCAUCGCAGAGCAGAAGAGUGGAUGUCGGCCGUCCUCGUAGACAGACCGAACAGAUCAUUCCGGGGUCAUCAUCAGUAUUGGUGCUUUCGGAAGCAGGUGGCUCCGCGUAAUCUGCUAAACGUGGAUUGACAGUGUGACGGCGACGGUGUUGCCGUGCGUGUUGUGCUGCAGGUAUCUCAUCUGGUGUUCCAGAUGUCAGACGAGCUGACCUAUCCAAGCGUCGCUUGCCAAGCGGGACCAGGGGUCUGGUUGCUUCACGCAAGGGGUUGUGCUCUGGUGUAGGCGACGAUAGAGCCGGAGGCUGGUGUACAGCCACCCUGGUCGGCUCAUCCGGUAUAAUGCCGCGGCUACACUCCUCUUCCUGUUCAGUUAUGAGGAUCUGAACCUCGGAGGUGAUGGCUGCAAUUGAGCAUGCCAAGAUGGCGGCAUCCUCAAGUGGGUCCGGACUGGGGUCGAUCUCUGUAGGCAAAUUACGGUGGGGCUCCAUCAGAUGUCCCAAGCGGCUCAAACCAUCCACGUUUGAAUUCUUGCGUCCGGCCUUAUGCAUCACUUCAAAGUCGUAGGCUUGAAGCUUGAGCGCAUAUCGAGCCAGCUUUCCCAGAAGAUCUCGAGCGCGUGCAGUCCGCAAAGACCGAACCGCCAUCGAAUCCGUGAUGAGUACAAAAUGAGUGCCGUACAAGUAGGGGUGAAAGUGUUUAAUUGCCCAUAAGGCAGCGUAGGCCUCUCCAUCUGCCGCGCUGUAAUUCAGCUGUGAGCCAGUCAUAGCCUUACUAGCAAACUGAACGGCGUAUUCAUAUCCUUUGUUGUCCUGCUGGGCCAGGCACGCGGCGACGGCAGUGCGGCACCAGUCGACUUGGACCAAGAACGGGCGUCGGAAAUCAGGUGCGCGGAGAACAGGCUCCCCCAGCAAAGCAUUACGUAGCUCUUGGAAAGCGUCCUCUUCUCGCGGACCCCAGCACCAGGGUGUCCCUUGCUUAAGUAGUGCAUACAAUGGCUGUGCAA
This 3177-nucleotide long non-coding RNA is filed under the name Volvox carteri. RNAcentral's name for it is "long non-coding RNA (VCAR_LNC000528)". Lineage: Eukaryota; Viridiplantae; Chlorophyta; Chlorophyceae; Chlamydomonadales; Volvocaceae. The record is from RNAcentral.